CAAAGAGUAGUUUGAAGUAAGAAUCCUAGCCUUGGGAGUUGGGGGUGGGAGUUAAAGUCUCCCUUCUUUGA
This 71-nucleotide transfer RNA is filed under the name Kuhlia mugil (barred flagtail). Its description in RNAcentral is "tRNA-Pro". It matches the Rfam family "tRNA". Rfam says of the family: Transfer RNA (tRNA) molecules are approximately 80 nucleotides in length. RNAcentral also lists the same sequence under 2 other names. Lineage: Eukaryota; Metazoa; Chordata; Actinopteri; Centrarchiformes; Kuhliidae. The record is from RNAcentral.